Non-coding RNA from Ciona savignyi (Pacific transparent sea squirt), 119 nucleotides. The record is from Rfam. Lineage: Eukaryota; Metazoa; Chordata; Ascidiacea; Phlebobranchia; Cionidae.
GCUCAUCACCAUUCCAGAUAGAAUAUACCCGAUCUCGUCUGAUCUCGGAAGUCAAGCAAUCUCGGGCUUGGUUAGUACUUGGAUGGGUGACCGCUUGGGAAUACCAAGUGUAAUAAGCA